This 253-nucleotide ribosomal RNA is filed under the name uncultured bacterium. RNAcentral describes it as "partial 16S ribosomal RNA". It matches the Rfam family "Bacterial small subunit ribosomal RNA", at positions 524 to 776 of the family's 1533-position model. The record is from RNAcentral.
UACGGAGGAUGCAAGCGUUAUCCGGAAUGAUUGGGCGGAAAGCGUCCGCAGGUGGCUGUGUAAGUCUGCUGUCAAAGAGCAAAGCUCAACUUUGUAAAGGCAGUGGAAACUACACGGCUAGAGUGCGUUCGGGGCAGAGGGAAUUCCUGGUGUAGCGGUGAAAUGCGUAGAGAUCAGGAAGAACACCGGUGGCGAAGGCGCUCUGCUAGGCCGCAACUGACACUGAGGGACGAAAGCUAGGGGAGCGAAUGGG